UACAGAGGGUGCAAGCGUUGUUCGGAAUUAUUGGGCGUAAAGCGCGUGUAGGCGGCUUUGCAAGUCGGGUGUGAAAGCCCUCAGCUUAACUGAGGAAGUGCGCCCGAAACUGCCGAGCUUGAGUACCGGAGAGGAUGGCGGAAUUCCCCAAGUAGAGGUGAAAUUCGUAGAUAUGGGGAGGAACACCGGUGGCGAAGGCGGCCAUCUGGACGGAUACUGACGCUGAGACGCGAAAGCGUGGGUAGCAAACAGG
Molecule: ribosomal RNA, 253 nt
Filed under: uncultured bacterium
Lineage: Bacteria
Description: partial 16S ribosomal RNA
Rfam family: Bacterial small subunit ribosomal RNA
Source: RNAcentral